UGUGAAGUUGCAUCACACAAGAGGUACUGUAGACAAUGUUGGCUCUUACCAAGAUGGUGAGAACAAAAUCCAAACACAAUAUUCAUCAUGAGAGACCAUUCAUGUAUGUCUUUAUCAUCUAGAACUUGUGUAUACUCUUUUCUGAUAUUCAUUGCAUGAUUACAUACACGGAGGCGCGUUGUUUGAGCAUGUAUCCCUUUGUUUGUGAAAAUACCACAUUAUUA
RNAcentral lists this long non-coding RNA (224 nucleotides) under Lathyrus oleraceus (garden pea). RNAcentral describes it as "Pisum sativum (pea) long non-coding RNA (PSAT_LNC003357)". The record is from RNAcentral. Lineage: Eukaryota; Viridiplantae; Streptophyta; Magnoliopsida; Fabales; Fabaceae.